GACGAACGCUGGCGGCGUGCUUAACACAUGCAAGUCGAACGGAAAGGCCCUGCUUUGGUGGGGUGCUCGAGUGGCGAACGGGUGAGUAACACGUGAGUAACCGUCCCUUGACUUUGGGAUAACUUCAGGAAACUGGGGCUAAUCCCGGAUAGGAGCUCCUGCUGCAUGGUGGGGGUUGGAAAGUUUCGGCGGUUGGGGAUGGACUCGCGGCUUAUCAGCUUGUUGGUGGGGUAGUGGCUUACCAAGGCCUUGACGGGUAGCCGGCCUGAGAGGGUGACCGGCCACAUUGGGACUGAGAUACGGCCCAGACUCCUACGGGAGGCAGCAGUGGGGAAUAUUGCACAAUGGGCGGAAGCCUGAUGCAGCAGCGCCGCGUGCGGGAUGACGGCCUGCGCGUUGUAAACCGCUUUCGCCUGUGACGAAGCGUGAGUGACGGUAAUGGGUAAAGAAGCACCGGCUAACUACGUG
This 468-nucleotide ribosomal RNA is filed under the name uncultured bacterium. Its description in RNAcentral is "partial 16S ribosomal RNA". It matches the Rfam family "Bacterial small subunit ribosomal RNA", at positions 28 to 507 of the family's 1533-position model. The record is from RNAcentral.